GUGCUCGUAGCUCAGUUGGUUAGAGCAUUGGAUUUUUAAUCCAAGGGUCAUGGUUUCGAAUACCAUCGGGCACA
This 74-nucleotide transfer RNA is filed under the name Candidatus Onthovivens merdipullorum. RNAcentral's name for it is "tRNA-Lys". It matches the Rfam family "tRNA". From Rfam's summary of the family: Transfer RNA (tRNA) molecules are approximately 80 nucleotides in length. Their secondary structure includes four short double-helical elements and three loops (D, anti-codon, and T loops). Lineage: Bacteria; Bacillati; Bacillota; Bacilli; Caryophanales. The record is from RNAcentral.